Bactrocera neohumeralis is the source of this 2566-nucleotide long non-coding RNA. RefSeq lists it as uncharacterized. The record is from RefSeq and is a predicted model, not a curated record. NCBI's taxonomy places the organism in Eukaryota, Metazoa, Arthropoda, Insecta, Diptera, Tephritidae. The transcript has 4 exons.
UAUAAAUGGAGAUAAGUAUAAAGGUUAAAACUAUUUGUUCUAUACACAUACAUAUAUAUGAAUGAUUUACUAUAUUAACAGUCUCUUCAGCCACAAUUGGUUGGGUUGUUGUUGGAGAUAUAUUAUUUUCUCACUCCCGACUCCCGUAUAAUAUUUGUUUGAAUUGAUGUAAUAAAAUUUAAUAAAAUAAAAAAAAGUAUUUCCUCGUAGUUAGAUUCCCCCCUCCUAAUUUGGGUAUGCUGCUCCAAAAAUUGCAGCAGCGAGAAGCACCAGAACUUUAGAGAAUACAAAUCGUGUAUACCAGCUCCGCUUUUUCGUGAAUUGCGCACUUCACGAAUUUCUCGUAAAUAUUGUGUUCUUAUAUUUUUCCAUUUUUUUUAUUUCACACACGUUUAUGUUUGGCACGUUUAGCUCCUCACAGAUUUUGUUAAAAGCUUCAGCUUUUACAUUCCGGUCCAAAUAUAACGGUGACUUUAUGCUAUAAUUACUCCUGUGCUUCUACCAAAUAUAUUAAUUUUUCAAUUAGCGCUUUUGUCCACUUUACUUUUUCCGCCAUAUUUAUUUAAAAUAAUCGAAUAUUAAUUAACAGAAAAUUUAAAAAUUAAUUUAUUCUCACCACUUUUAAAAAUUUCAUAAACACUGUAAAUUAACAUCCUCACGCUUCAAUAUUCAAAUAACAACGCAACAGGCAUUAAGUGUAGCGCAGCCGUACAGCACAAAAAUUUGAGAAAAUGAUAUGAAAGAGAAUGAGAAAAAAACUCGUGAACUGUGAACGUAAUGGGCGACAGCAAAAGAAAAUCGCCCGAGAAUUAGCAACAAGAGUUGACGCGUAUAAUAACAGACUUAGUGAUCGCGGCCGUUUGUUUCGAUUGGUGUUUGUUUUAUUGUUUAGGUGUUUUUACUUUUCGCGCCCGUUUUAUGUUUUUUGCGUUCGUAAAAUUUGUAUAUUGUGUUUUUUGUAAGUUUUUGUUUUGUCACUGCAGUUUUGGUUAUUGCAUAUAUGCCCAUAUUUUUGCCCAAACACCCCCAUUUUUUUGUUUUGCUCCAAAGCACUUUUUUGUGUUUUGUCUUUUUGUUGUAUAUGUUACUUUUUUUGUAUUUAUUGGGUCUAAUUAUUGAAUCCGUUUCGAUCGAUAUACUUGACAAUUCGAUCGAAAAUUAUUACCGUAUCGAAAAUUAAGUUUUCGAUGCAGUUGAACUUAAUUGUCAACUUGAUAAAAUACAUUCCGUGGCUAACAGAUGGCGCUAAUUUUGAAAUAAUUGAAACCGCAAAAUCGAAAAUAUUUGUCGAAAUCCAUUCGUUUAUCAGUGAACUGCGUAAAUUGGCAAAAAUGGAGCAUUUAGAGAAGAAACAAAAAUACACCAACGAAAAUCAACCAACAAAUUCAAAUCACUCAUAUCCCAUAUGUGAGAAUCAUGACUACUGCCGGAAUACUUAGCACAAACGUAUCGUAUUUGCAUCUUGUGGUCGCACACCUACAUACGAAAAACAUAUAUGUAUAUAUAGAAUACUGAGUGAAAAGUUAAUUUUGAAAAAGCCUAACCACCAUAACAUUCAGAUUUGAGAAACCUUUGCGGUUAAAAUACAGAUGUUUAUCUCUUGACGGUGCCAUUAUCUUUACGUGAGUUCCAUAAACUGCCAUUUCCACACCAGAAAUUUUUGAUUUUCCAAAAAAAUAUGUUGUUUUCUUCCUCGCUGGCGAUCAAAUCAAUGGAAAUCCAUCUUGAACAUAGCCUGUACUCAAGAAUGUUGAGUACUUCAUCUAAUACAACACAAAACGUCGAUUGGGCCAUAUUUAUAUUGAAGACCUUUCCAAUACAAUGUUGAUAACCUUGUCUUUUGUCAUUUCCAAAUUAAUUUUCGCAUUCCCCCAAAAUCCUAAAUAGUUCAACUCACUUAAGGUCAUCCAUUUCCAACACGUCUUUUGAAAUAUUCCUCAAAUUUCAGCGCUCACUACGAAUGUUUACACUAUUUUCAUCAUCACUGCAUUUAGCUGAAUUUACCAAAUUUGAGUAGGCAACACUGCUCAAAAAUGGCCGAUUUUUGCUAUUUUUUGACAGAUGUCGCUUGAAGUCUGCCGCCUCCUUUGCGUUUGCAGCAUCAGAGCUGUCUAAUACUAUGUUCGGACCGACAUUGAAAACAUUAUGAAAACACAUUUGGAUGUUGUGGAAUCUAAGUCGCUCGGACCGACAAUGUGUGUUUUCGAUGAGUUUUCACUGACAACUAUCAAUAGCGGCGUUCUCUUGCUCUUGCAAGAUUGCGCAAUGACACAAAAUGCAAAAAUCCUAUACCAAAAUAUGCAAGGCCAAGAGAGCACCCAUUGCGGAAUCUAGUGAUAUAUGACGUGGUUUUGGUCUGACAUAUUUAUAGCCAUUGCAAAUAAUUUUCUGCGUGUGUUUGUUGCUGUGCCGUUGCACCAAGAGGAAAAUUCUGCAAUUUCCUGUAAAAAAUAUUGUACGGAAACAGAGAAAACCGCCAUUUAAUGUAAUUCAUGCAACUAAUUUUUAUAUUAUAAAUAUAAAUGCCCAACAUUUUUUGAUGAAUAAAAACAUUGUUCUAGUUUAA